Molecule: ribosomal RNA, 2924 nt
Filed under: Escherichia coli
Lineage: Bacteria; Pseudomonadati; Pseudomonadota; Gammaproteobacteria; Enterobacterales; Enterobacteriaceae
Description: partial 23S ribosomal RNA
Rfam family: Bacterial large subunit ribosomal RNA
Source: RNAcentral
GGGUUGUGAGGUUAAGCGACUAAGCGUACACGGUGGAUGCCCUGGCAGUCAGAGGCGAUGAAGGACGUGCUAAUCUGCGAUAAGCGUCGGUAAGGUGAUAUGAACCGUUAUAACCGGCGAUUUCCGAAUGGGGAAACCCAGUGUGAUUCGUCACACUAUCAUUAACUGAAUCCAUAGGUUAAUGAGGCGAACCGGGGGAACUGAAACAUCUAAGUACCCCGAGGAAAAGAAAUCAACCGAGAUUCCCCCAGUAGCGGCGAGCGAACGGGGAGGAGCCCAGAGCCUGAAUCAGUGUGUGUGUUAGUGGAAGCGUCUGGAAAGGCGCGCGAUACAGGGUGACAGCCCCGUACACAAAAAUGCACAUGCUGUGAGCUCGAUGAGUAGGGCGGGACACGUGGUAUCCUGUCUGAAUAUGGGGGGACCAUCCUCCAAGGCUAAAUACUCCUGACUGACCGAUAGUGAACCAGUACCGUGAGGGAAAGGCGAAAAGAACCCCGGCGAGGGGAGUGAAAAAGAACCUGAAACCGUGUACGUACAAGCAGUGGGAGCACGCUUCGGCGUGUGACUGCGUACCUUUUGUAUAAUGGGUCAGCGACUUAUAUUCUGUAGCAAGGUUAACCGAAUAGGGGAGCCGAAGGGAAACCGAGUCUUAACUGGGCGUUAAGUUGCAGGGUAUAGACCCGAAACCCGGUGAUCUAGCCAUGGGCAGGUUGAAGGUUGGGUAACACUAACUGGAGGACCGAACCGACUAAUGUUGAAAAAUUAGCGGAUGACUUGUGGCUGGGGGUGAAAGGCCAAUCAAACCGGGAGAUAGCUGGUUCUCCCCGAAAGCUAUUUAGGUAGCGCCUCGUGAAUUCAUCUCCGGGGGUAGAGCACUGUUUCGGCAAGGGGGUCAUCCCGACUUACCAACCCGAUGCAAACUGCGAAUACCGGAGAAUGUUAUCACGGGAGACACACGGCGGGUGCUAACGUCCGUCGUGAAGAGGGAAACAACCCAGACCGCCAGCUAAGGUCCCAAAGUCAUGGUUAAGUGGGAAACGAUGUGGGAAGGCCCAGACAGCCAGGAUGUUGGCUUAGAAGCAGCCAUCAUUUAAAGAAAGCGUAAUAGCUCACUGGUCGAGUCGGCCUGCGCGGAAGAUGUAACGGGGCUAAACCAUGCACCGAAGCUGCGGCAGCGACACUGUGUGUUGUUGGGUAGGGGAGCGUUCUGUAAGCCUGUGAAGGUGUACUGUGAGGUAUGCUGGAGGUAUCAGAAGUGCGAAUGCUGACAUAAGUAACGAUAAAGCGGGUGAAAAGCCCGCUCGCCGGAAGACCAAGGGUUCCUGUCCAACGUUAAUCGGGGCAGGGUGAGUCGACCCCUAAGGCGAGGCCGAAAGGCGUAGUCGAUGGGAAACAGGUUAAUAUUCCUGUACUUGGUGUUACUGCGAAGGGGGGACGGAGAAGGCUAUGUUGGCCGGGCGACGGUUGUCCCGGUUUAAGCGUGUAGGCUGGUUUUCCAGGCAAAUCCGGAAAAUCAAGGCUGAGGCGUGAUGACGAGGCACUACGGUGCUGAAGCAACAAAUGCCCUGCUUCCAGGAAAAGCCUCUAAGCAUCAGGUAACAUCAAAUCGUACCCCAAACCGACACAGGUGGUCAGGUAGAGAAUACCAAGGCGCUUGAGAGAACUCGGGUGAAGGAACUAGGCAAAAUGGUGCCGUAACUUCGGGAGAAGGCACGCUGAUAUGUAGGUGAAGCGACUUGCUCGUGGAGCUGAAAUCAGUCGAAGAUACCAGCUGGCUGCAACUGUUUAUUAAAAACACAGCACUGUGCAAACACGAAAGUGGACGUAUACGGUGUGACGCCUGCCCGGUGCCGGAAGGUUAAUUGAUGGGGUUAGCGCAAGCGAAGCUCUUGAUCGAAGCCCCGGUAAACGGCGGCCGUAACUAUAACGGUCCUAAGGUAGCGAAAUUCCUUGUCGGGUAAGUUCCGACCUGCACGAAUGGCGUAAUGAUGGCCAGGCUGUCUCCACCCGAGACUCAGUGAAAUUGAACUCGCUGUGAAGAUGCAGUGUACCCGCGGCAAGACGGAAAGACCCCGUGAACCUUUACUAUAGCUUGACACUGAACAUUGAGCCUUGAUGUGUAGGAUAGGUGGGAGGCUUUGAAGUGUGGACGCCAGUCUGCAUGGAGCCGACCUUGAAAUACCACCCUUUAAUGUUUGAUGUUCUAACGUUGACCCGUAAUCCGGGUUGCGGACAGUGUCUGGUGGGUAGUUUGACUGGGGCGGUCUCCUCCUAAAGAGUAACGGAGGAGCACGAAGGUUGGCUAAUCCUGGUCGGACAUCAGGAGGUUAGUGCAAUGGCAUAAGCCAGCUUGACUGCGAGCGUGACGGCGCGAGCAGGUGCGAAAGCAGGUCAUAGUGAUCCGGUGGUUCUGAAUGGAAGGGCCAUCGCUCAACGGAUAAAAGGUACUCCGGGGAUAACAGGCUGAUACCGCCCAAGAGUUCAUAUCGACGGCGGUGUUUGGCACCUCGAUGUCGGCUCAUCACAUCCUGGGGCUGAAGUAGGUCCCAAGGGUAUGGCUGUUCGCCAUUUAAAGUGGUACGCGAGCUGGGUUUAGAACGUCGUGAGACAGUUCGGUCCCUAUCUGCCGUGGGCGCUGGAGAAUUGAGGGGGGCUGCUCCUAGUACGAGAGGACCGGAGUGGACGCAUCACUGGUGUUCGGGUUGUCAUGCCAAUGGCACUGCCCGGUAGCUAAAUGCGGAAGAGAUAAGUGCUGAAAGCAUCUAAGCACGAAACUUGCCCCGAGAUGAGUUCUCCCUGACCCUUUAAGGGUCCUGAAGGAACGUUGAAGACGACGACGUUGAUAGGCCGGGUGUGUAAGCGCAGCGAUGCGUUGAGCUAACCGGUACUAAUGAACCGUGAGGCUUAACCUUACAACGCCGAAG